UUCUUCUGCCGCGGUAUACUUUUACUUUGCCCCGAUUUAGCCACACAAAUCCAAUAGGUUCAAUCGGGCCCCGACCAGGUGAUGGAUAUAGUCUAGGCCACGAGCUACACCGUCUCGUGGCACUAUCAUUCGGUGGCAUGUAAAUCGAGGUAUCAGAUCUCGUUGGCCACAAAUUCAUUUUAUUGUCAACACGGGUUGACGGCCCGACAGCAUAUGACCCGACCAUCAACAUCAUAGAUGGUCUGGGUGCAUAUGAUGUUGAUGGCUUCGAUAUAUCUAUCACCCGUACCUGUACCUCAGUGAGUUGAGGCUUUUUCUUUGAGUUUUUGGCCUUAGGCUUCGUUGCCUUAGGUUUUGUUUCCUUUAAUUUUAUUUUCCCUGGUUCCUUUGAGGAAGAGCAACAGAAGCUGACAGGUGCAACGUCUAUUCACAACCUAUCCUUAUCCUCUUAUGAUGAAAUAAGGGUACUGCAAGGCAUAAGCACUCCGUUUUAACUGUGACUGCCGCCGGAAGCCGAACUGAAGUUAGGCUCGUGGUGCGCGUUUCCGGAAGGGCCCAAUAUUACGCCGGAUAAAUCCGCUUUUAUCAUCCCGGACUCUUUUUCCAUUUUUACGAAAACAGGUUCUCCCAUUUCCAUUGGUACAAAAACACACUCACACGAAUCAUCAAAAUUUUAGCUUCAAAAUUAUAUUUUUUCACUUCCCAUUUAGAUCUUAAAA
Long non-coding RNA from Wyeomyia smithii (pitcher-plant mosquito), 719 nucleotides. RefSeq lists it as uncharacterized. NCBI's taxonomy places the organism in Eukaryota, Metazoa, Arthropoda, Insecta, Diptera, Culicidae. The record is from RefSeq and is a predicted model, not a curated record. The transcript has 3 exons.